UACAUGGGGUGCAAACGUUGUUCGGAAUUAUUGGGCGUAAAGCGCGCGUAGGCGGUUACUUAAGUCGGAUGUGAAAGCCCUCGGCUUAACUGAGGAAGUGCACCCGAAACUGAGUAGCUAGAGUACGAAAGAGGGUCGCGGAAUUCCCGGUGUAGAGGUGAAAUUCGUAGAUAUCGGGAGGAACACCGGUGGCGAAGGCGGCGACCUGGGUCGAGACUGACGCUGAGGCGCGAAAGCGUGGGGAGCAAACAGG
This 253-nucleotide ribosomal RNA is filed under the name uncultured bacterium. RNAcentral's name for it is "partial 16S ribosomal RNA". It matches the Rfam family "Bacterial small subunit ribosomal RNA", at positions 524 to 776 of the family's 1533-position model. The record is from RNAcentral.